RNAcentral lists this ribosomal RNA (161 nucleotides) under Malpighia emarginata. RNAcentral describes it as "5.8S ribosomal RNA". It matches the Rfam family "5.8S ribosomal RNA". Rfam says of the family: 5.8S ribosomal RNA (5.8S rRNA) is a component of the large subunit of the eukaryotic ribosome. It is transcribed by RNA polymerase I as part of the 45S precursor that also contains 18S and 28S rRNA. Lineage: Eukaryota; Viridiplantae; Streptophyta; Magnoliopsida; Malpighiales; Malpighiaceae. The record is from RNAcentral.
UCGGCAACGGAUAUCUCGGCUCUCGCAUCGAUGAAGAACGUAGCAAAAUGCGAUACUUGGUGUGAAUUGCAGAAUCCCGUGAACCAUCGAGUCUUUGAACGCAAGUUGCGCCCGAAGCCUUACGGUUGAGGGCACGCCUGCCUGGGUGUCACACAACGUCG